This 350-nucleotide ribosomal RNA is filed under the name Carnobacterium maltaromaticum. RNAcentral's name for it is "bacterial SSU rRNA". It matches the Rfam family "Bacterial small subunit ribosomal RNA", at positions 897 to 1247 of the family's 1533-position model. Lineage: Bacteria; Bacillati; Bacillota; Bacilli; Lactobacillales; Carnobacteriaceae. The record is from RNAcentral.
AAACUCAAAGGAAUUGACGGGGACCCCGCACAAGCGGUGGAGCAUGUGGUUUAAUUCGAAGCAACGCGAAGAACCUUACCAGGUCUUGACAUCCUUUGACCACUCUAGAGAUAGAGCUUUCCCUUCGGGGACAAAGUGACAGGUGGUGCAUGGUUGUCGUCAGCUCGUGUCGUGAGAUGUUGGGUUAAGUCCCGCAACGAGCGCAACCCUUAUUACUAGUUGCCAGCAUUUAGUUGGGCACUCUAGUGAGUCUGGCGGUGACAAACCGGAGGAAGGUGGGGAUGACGUCAAAUCAUCAUGCCCCUUAUGACCUGGGCUACACCCGUGCUACAAUGGAUGGUACAACGAGU